RNAcentral lists this small nucleolar RNA (137 nucleotides) under Ornithorhynchus anatinus (platypus). Lineage: Eukaryota; Metazoa; Chordata; Mammalia; Monotremata; Ornithorhynchidae. The record is from RNAcentral.
CCCCUCUCAGAAUUGCAUCUGGAGAGUUUCCAGGAUUCUACCAGUCUUGGCUACGGGGGGAGAGCCAAGCAGAGGCCUAUCUAUUCCUUUCCUAGCUUGGCCAGUGGCUAGCGAGUGGAAGGCAAUCUGCUACAAGU